Molecule: ribosomal RNA, 260 nt
Filed under: uncultured bacterium
Lineage: Bacteria
Description: partial 16S ribosomal RNA
Rfam family: Bacterial small subunit ribosomal RNA
Source: RNAcentral
GUCCACGCCCUAACGAUGUCAACUAGUUGUUGGUAGAGUAAAUCUAUGAGUAACGCAGCUAACGCGUGAAGUUGACCGCCUGGGAGUACGAUCGCAAGAUUAAACUCAAAUGAAUUGACGGGGCCCGCACAAGCGGUGGAUUAUGUGGAUUAAUUCGAUGCAACGCGAAAACCUUACCUGGCCUUGACAUGUACGGAACUUUCCAGAGAUGGAUUGGUGCUCGAAAGAGAACCGUAACACAGGUGCUGCAUGGCUGUCGU